Molecule: long non-coding RNA, 461 nt
Organism: Arachis duranensis
Lineage: Eukaryota; Viridiplantae; Streptophyta; Magnoliopsida; Fabales; Fabaceae
Exons: 4
Source: RefSeq, a predicted model, not a curated record
CGAAUCCUUGCCGCCAUUCCUCUCCGGUCCCAAUAACAGCUGCAUCGCACUUCCCGUCGCCGAAGGGUCCCUCGCCUAUCAAUUUCGUCGAUUUGCCUUCAGCUUGGCUAACGAAACUGCGGUCGAUUUGCAGAGCUGCUUCGUCAAUUUCCCUUAAGGAAGCAUAUCUUCUCCAGUUCAUUCUUUGGCAUUGGACCCAUAGUUUCUUUCUUCUCGUAAUUUUUUAAAAGUGCAGAAUUUUACCAUGAGGAAAUUGGAAGAGAAUGACCUCUUUCUCUGCGCCAGCAGCUUCUUUUUCAUCCACUCGAUGCAAGAGGCUUCUCCAUUCUCUUCCCUUGAUCAUGCAACUGCAUUCGCUCGAGAUUUAUGGUUCAACAAGUCGCCUAUAAGUUCAUGGCUGGAUGCAUUCUCCGCACAUAGGCACAUCGGUGAAGCUAUUAGUCGAGCGCCUAACGAACUUA